UACAGAGGGGGCAAGCGUUAUUCGGAAUUAUUGGGCGUAAAGGGCGCGUAGGCGGCUUGGCAAGUGGGAGGUGAAAUCCCUCGGCUUAACCGAGGAACUGCCCUGCAAACUGCUUUGCUUGAGGCCGGGAGAGGUGAGUGGAAUUCCCAGUGUAGCGGUGAAAUGCGUAGAUAUUGGGAGGAACACCAGUGGCGAAGGCGGCUCACUGGACCGGUUCUGACGCUGAUGCGCGAAAGCGUGGGGAGCAAACGGG
This 253-nucleotide ribosomal RNA is filed under the name uncultured bacterium. RNAcentral's name for it is "partial 16S ribosomal RNA". It matches the Rfam family "Bacterial small subunit ribosomal RNA", at positions 524 to 776 of the family's 1533-position model. The record is from RNAcentral.